RNAcentral lists this ribosomal RNA (254 nucleotides) under uncultured bacterium. Its description in RNAcentral is "partial 16S ribosomal RNA". It matches the Rfam family "Bacterial small subunit ribosomal RNA", at positions 524 to 776 of the family's 1533-position model. The record is from RNAcentral.
UACGAAGGGUGCAAACGUUGCUCGGAAUUAUUGGGCGUAAAGCGCACGUAGGCGGCAUUGCAAGUCGGAUGUGAAAUCUUAUGGCUUAACCAUAAAAGUGCAUCCGAAACUGCAGUGCUUGAGUACUUAAGAGGAUCGCGGAAUUCCCGGUGUAGAGGUGAAAUUCGUAGAUAUCUGGAGGAACACCGGUGGCGAAGGCGGCGUCCUGGACCAAUACUGACACUGAGUGAGCGAAAGCCAGGGGAGCAAACGGG